Molecule: ribosomal RNA, 408 nt
Filed under: uncultured bacterium
Lineage: Bacteria
Description: partial 16S ribosomal RNA
Rfam family: Bacterial small subunit ribosomal RNA
Source: RNAcentral
GACGAACGCUGGCGGCGUGCUUAACACAUGCAAGUCGAACGAAGUGGCGAACGGGUGAGUAACACGUAAUCAACCUGCCCUUCAGAGGGGGACAACAGUUGGAAACGACUGCUAAUACCGCAUACUGAAGGAGGGGAUUGCGUCUGAUUAGCUAGUUGGAGGGGUAACGGCCCACCAAGGCGAUGAUCAGUAGCGGGUCGUAGAGGAGUAACGGCCACAUUGGGACUUAGACAAGGCCCAGACUCCGACGGGAGGCAGCAGUUGGGAAUCUGCCGCAAUGGACGAACGUCUGACGGAGCAACGCCGCGUGAGUGAUGACGGCCUUCGGGUUGUAAAGCUCUGUUAAUCGGGACGCGUUACCGGAAUAGAAAGCCACGGCUAACUACGUGCCAGCAGCCGCGGUAAUUC